CCUUCUGCUUUUGUGGCAGAACCUGAGUAGUGAGGGCUGAAACAUUUUGCUCGCCUACAAUCUGUUUGGAUGAUUGUUUGGGCUGAAUAAAGGCAGAAAUAUUUCGUCCUAAGUUUACUUUUUCGCUCCCCUUAAUCCUCCUCUUGUUGGUACACAAAUCUUUCAGAAACUUUGCAUACUUAGGAAUCUGCUUAAUAACAUCAAGUAGCGGAAUAUUUACCGCAACCUUUCGAAAAACAUCCAAUAUCUCUC
RNAcentral lists this long non-coding RNA (252 nucleotides) under Lathyrus oleraceus (garden pea). RNAcentral describes it as "Pisum sativum (pea) long non-coding RNA (PSAT_LNC017658)". The record is from RNAcentral. Lineage: Eukaryota; Viridiplantae; Streptophyta; Magnoliopsida; Fabales; Fabaceae.